UUGGAGGGCAAGUCUGGUGCCAGCAGCCGCGGUAAUUCCAGCUCCAAUAGCGUAUAUUAAAGUUGUUGCAGUUAAAAAGCUCGUAGUUGAAUUUCGGGAUCAAUAUGUCGGUCGUGCCUCGGUACGUACUGGCGUCAUUGGUUUCUCCCUUCUGAAGAACCACGAUGUCAUUAAUUUGGUGUCGUGGGGAAUCAGGGCUGUUACUUUGAAAAAAUUAGAGUGUUUAAAGCAGGCUCGCGCUUGAAUACAUUAGCAUGGAAUAAUGAAAUAGGACGUUUGAUUCUAUUUUGUUGGUUUCUAGGAUCGACGUAAUGAUUAAUAGGGAUAGUUGGGGGCAUUAGUAUUCAAUUGUCAGAGGUGAAAUUCUUGGAUUUAUUGAAGACUAACUACUGCGAAAGCAUUUGCCAAGGAUGUUUUCAUUAAUCAAGAACGAAAGUUAGGGGAUCGAAGACGAUCAGAUACCGUCGUAGUCUUAACCAUAAACUAUGCCGACUAGGGAUCGGAUGAUGUUAAUUUUUUAAUGACUCAUUCGGCGCCUUACGGGAAACCAAAGUGUUUGGGUUC
RNAcentral lists this ribosomal RNA (564 nucleotides) under uncultured Glomeromycotina. RNAcentral describes it as "SSU rRNA". It matches the Rfam family "Eukaryotic small subunit ribosomal RNA", at positions 548 to 1114 of the family's 1831-position model. The record is from RNAcentral. Lineage: Eukaryota; Fungi; Glomeromycota.